RNAcentral lists this long non-coding RNA (872 nucleotides) under Bemisia tabaci. RNAcentral's name for it is "lncRNA ENSSSA3NGG005733". The record is from RNAcentral. Lineage: Eukaryota; Metazoa; Arthropoda; Insecta; Hemiptera; Aleyrodidae.
CGCCGAGUCGCGGGAAAGGGAGCCUGGUGGCGGUGACGUGUUGGGCGAACUCUGCGGAGACAGGCGUCGCCAUGACGACGGGCUCCGGCGCACGCUGCCGCUGCAGCUCGCUUCAGCGCCGCAGCCGGCCGGACCGAAUUUCAGCCAGUAGCCCAUCGUGUCGUGGUCCGGCCACUAGCGCCGCUUUUCCGUCGAGUCGCGGGUUUUUCGCGCGUGUUCAACCGUGCGCCAGGAUGUGAGGAAGAGCAGCCGUAAUUUCCACCGGCGCGCUCCAUCGGACUACACUCUUUUCAGCCAAGGUUUCGGCGGGUUCCGGGGCGGGCUUGAAUGCAGGAGGGCGAGCGGGAGAAUGCGGAGGUGCGUGAGGAGUGCGGAGCAGAGAAACCGCGACAACGGUCGCGGAGCAGGGACAAAGAGAAGGAGAGCGAGGAGCCGGCGGCGGAGGCCCUCGGGUGGGACAUCGACGCCGACCUGGAGCUCACCGGGGAGGGCGACGCCAAGCUCUCCCUCCAGAGGAUGCUCUCGGCCGGACACAACCAGCCCAGCCCGGCCGCCCUCCGCAGGCGUCUCCACCACCCCCCAAGACGCUCCGCUACCAUGACCUUCCAGCAAACGUGGCGGAGCAGCACAUCUGACAUCGAAGCUCUCUCUCAAAGAAGUCCAUCAUCAUCAAGGUAAGUUACAAAACUUUGCAUCCGACUAGUCGUUGAGACUCGCCGGUUUAAGUAAGUUCAACAUUUAAAGUCAAAAUUUUGUGAUGAGUGCUGACAUCGAUGACAUCUUUCGUAACUGUAUAAAUUUAAAUUUAUUACAUCUGCAACGCUGUAAAUACAUCCUCGCCAUUGAAAAUUAAUACGGUCCUGUAAGAUUUU